ACGGCUCAGUAACACGUAGUCAACCUACCCUUGGGACGGGGACAACGCCGGGAAACUGGCGAUAAUCCCCGAUAGGUGAGGGACGCUGGGAUGCUUCUUCGCUCAAAGCUCCGGCGCCCGAGGAUGGGACUGCGACCUAUCAGGCUGUUGGUGGUGUGACGGACCACCAAACCUACGACGGGUACGGGCGAUGGGAGUCGGAGCCUGGAGAUGGGGACUGAGACAAGGCCCCAGGCCCUACGGGGCGCAGCAGGCGCGAAAACUCCGCAAUGCGCGCAAGCGUGACGGGGGAACCCCAAGUGCCGUUGGUCUUUUGAUCGACGGCUUUUCGGAAGUCCAAUACGCUUCCGGAAUAAGGGCUGGGUAAGACUGGUGCCAGCCGCCGCGGUAACACCAGCAGCCCAAGUGGUGGCCGCGAUUAUUGGGCCUAAAGCGCUCGUAGCCGGAUCAGCAAGUCCUUUGUGAAAUCGGGCCGCCCAACGGUUCGGCGUGCAAAGGAUACUGUUGGUCUUGAGACCGGGAGAGGUCGGAGGUACUCCUGGGGUAGCGGUGAAAUGCUGUAAUCCUGGGGGGACCACCAGUGGCGAAGGCGUCCGACCAGAACGGAUCUGACGGUGAGGGGCGAAGGCUAGGGGAGCGAACGGGAUUAGAUACCCCGGUAGUCCUAGCUGUAAAGCAUGCGGGCCAGGUGUCUAGCGCUCCUUGAGGGCGCUAUGUGCCGGAGGGAAGCCGUUAAGCCC
RNAcentral lists this ribosomal RNA (740 nucleotides) under uncultured archaeon. Its description in RNAcentral is "bacterial SSU rRNA". It matches the Rfam family "Archaeal small subunit ribosomal RNA", at positions 85 to 822 of the family's 1478-position model. The record is from RNAcentral.